This is a long non-coding RNA of Labrus mixtus (cuckoo wrasse), 216 nucleotides long. RefSeq lists it as uncharacterized. The transcript is spliced from 2 exons. The record is from RefSeq and is a predicted model, not a curated record. Lineage: Eukaryota; Metazoa; Chordata; Actinopteri; Labriformes; Labridae.
AAACCUCAAACUAAGAGUAACACUUUAAAGAAAGGUCACAGUAUUAACCUUUUAAAGGCAGGGUUGGUCAUUUCCUCCAGAUCCACUUUUUAAGAUUCUGGUGUAAAUUGGGAGGGGGUGUAGACGGAGCACAGAGGGAAUGCUACUUUCAAAAUCAUGCUAGUUUUAGAAAAUCACCAACCCUGCCUUUAACUUGUUGCUUAUUAUUUGCAAGUA